GUCUCAUGUAGUGCAAUUGAUAGCGCGUUGGACUUCUAAUCCAAAGAUCAUGUGUUCGAUAACCCAUCUGGGACA
Molecule: non-coding RNA, 75 nt
Organism: Trichonephila inaurata madagascariensis
Lineage: Eukaryota; Metazoa; Arthropoda; Arachnida; Araneae; Nephilidae
Source: the annotation of a GenBank genome assembly